This 301-nucleotide ribosomal RNA is filed under the name uncultured bacterium. RNAcentral's name for it is "partial 16S ribosomal RNA". It matches the Rfam family "Bacterial small subunit ribosomal RNA", at positions 509 to 807 of the family's 1533-position model. The record is from RNAcentral.
CAGCAGCCGCGGUAAUACGUAGGGUGCGAGCGUUAAUCGGAAUUACUGGGCGUAAAGCGUGCGCAGGCGGUUGUGUAAGACAGGUGUGAAAUCCCCGGGCUUAACCUGGGAACUGCGCUUGUGACUGCACAGCUAGAGUAUGGCAGAGGGGGGUGGAAUUCCACGUGUAGCAGUGAAAUGCGUAGAGAUGUGGAGGAACACCGAUGGCGAAGGCAGCCCCCUGGGCCAAUACUGACGCUGAGGUGCGAAAGCGUGGGGAGCAAACAGGAUUAGAUACCCCUGUAGUCCCUGUCUCUUAUAC